CCAAUAGCGUAUAUUAAAGUUGUUGCAGUUAAAAAGCUCGUAGUUGAAUUUCGGGGUCAGUAAGUUGGUCGUGCCACUGGUAUGUACUGGCUUUACUGAUUCCUCCUUCUUGUAGAACCGUAAUGCCAUUAAGUUGGUGUUUCGGGGAAACAGGACUGUUACUUUGAAAAAAUUAGAGAGUUUAAAGCAAGCUAACGCCUGAAUACAUUAGCAUGGAAUAAUGAAAUAGGACGAACGAUCCUAUUUUGUUGGUUUCUAGGAUUGACGUAAUGAUUAAUAGGGAUAGUUGGGGGCAUUAGUAUUCAAUUGUCAGAGGUGAAAUUCUUGGAUUUAUUGAAGACUAACUACUGCGAAAGCAUUUGCCAAGGAUGUUUUCAUUAAUCAAGAACGAAAGUUAGGGGAUCGAAGACGAUCAGAUACCGUCGUAGUCUUAACCAUAAACUAUGCCGACUAGGGAUCGGAUGAUGUUAAUUUUAUAAUGACUCAUUCGGCGCCUUACG
RNAcentral lists this unclassified non-coding RNA (500 nucleotides) under uncultured Glomus. RNAcentral's name for it is "SSU rRNA". It matches the Rfam family "Eukaryotic small subunit ribosomal RNA", at positions 591 to 1092 of the family's 1831-position model. The record is from RNAcentral. Lineage: Eukaryota; Fungi; Glomeromycota; Glomeromycetes; Glomerales; Glomeraceae.